Mauremys reevesii (Reeves's turtle) is the source of this 909-nucleotide RNA transcript. RefSeq lists it as uncharacterized. The transcript has 4 exons. The record is from RefSeq and is a predicted model, not a curated record. Lineage: Eukaryota; Metazoa; Chordata; Testudines; Geoemydidae.
GCAUGCUUUGGACAAGCAAGUAAGCAUGGCUGUUUACACCCUUAUUUUUCUGCUGUUCUCUUUUUUAAUAUGUGGUUGCUCCACAGCUAAUAAGAGGGAAACAGUAACUUCUUCUGAAGAUCUCAGGGAAGCUCCAGAACGAAUGAGAAAUUGAGCCAACUUGCCUGAUAUUCCUUGGCCUUCUGAGCGGUGGAUUCCUGCAAAGAAGGCUUCUCAGAAGAUCAAGCAGAAGGGGAUAUUGGAUUCAUGAAGCGAGACCUAAUCAUUGCUGCCAUGAGUACUAUGUUGAUGGCUGUCUCUGUAAUCCUGAUGUGUUGCUGUUUUCUUCAGUAUAAGCUUGUGACCAAGGAAGAAAAGAUUUUGAAGAAAGAAGAUCAGGCUUUUGCCCUCCAGACUUACUCACUGCACAAUGAGAUCUGUAUUGACCUAUCACCAGAACACAAAGCUCCUUCCAGGGUUUUGCCAGUAGAACCUUCCCAGUGUGAAAGAUCAGCAAUACAAAGCUUAGUGGGUGAUUUGACAUUAUCAGCCUCCAGUGACACUGUUGGGUUGGGCUAUAAAAACAGGUGUUGGUCUAACAGCAGUGCGGAUUCCACAGCCAGAACCAGAACACUUGAAACUUGCAUUUCCACUCUCCCAAAGUCAAAAACACCUUUGCAAUGUCACGAGGACUAUUGUGUGUGCUCAGGGAGUUCUUCUCCAGCAUCUGAAAGCACUGAUGUCUGCACAUGUGAAGACAGAGAGCAAACCACUGAUUCUGCUGCCGCAAUUUUUUGCCCUACCACUAUUACCAAGGACAUAACUUCUAGCAAAAGCUAUCCUUAUGCCAAUUAAUAAUGGCAAUCCAGCAAUGGAGACAGAGGAGUUGUUAAAAAUAUUUUUGUGAGGCUAUAUCUCACCUGAUUCAAA